AUCGUUUCUAACGGUAGUAGUAGAACAAGAAAUUGAAGAAUAUUAUGACAUCACUUGGACACCUCAGCAUACUCUAUUCUUUGGCUAAAUUGAAUAAGAAUGAAUUCACAUAUGUUAAGAAUUGAUGCCUAAAGGCAUCAUUAAAGGAAAAAAGCUAGAUUCUAGGUUGUAGCAAUUGAUCUAUAUGACUUGAGCUUUCAAGGAUUUUUUUUCCUUCUGUUUGUGUGCUUGGUUGGCUGGUUGUUUUUUUAAGAUAGAAUCAUUGAGUUUUCCUUAAGUAGAACGAGGAAACCUCGGUGACAUCCAAGAUGAUAGAAAAUUAGCUUAGACUUCCUUAGAGGACGGACCAGCGAGGAGGGUUGAGUGUUCUUUGACAAAGUCCAUUUUGUGUCCUCUGAGGCUUAGUCAUUAAAAUAUAUGUAAAGCAGUUUUUGUAAAGGUCAAGAAAUAGCGGACUCCUCUGUAGUGUGGAUCAAGGAACAAAGAGCGAGCAUUUCAAUAGUGGAGAUUUUCAUCAAAGGUAGAAAUAAUGUACGAAACGGGGGGGGGGGGAUGAAUUCGUCAACUGGGAUUUAAUAUGGCGCUACUAGGGAGGCACGUGGUGUGCGCGUGCAUUUGCACAACAGAAACCGUGUAAACCAUGUCUAGUUAAGGACUGGCCAAGCCGCCCCUUUAUGAGCAUGGACAAGGCAAAUGGAAUCUCUACGAGGCACCUCUGAAAAUUUCUCAGCUGCUAAUUAGACAAAAUCGGAUCUUGACUCCGGACACGGACCACCCGGAUGCAUCUGUCUCCUGGUUAAGGCGGUUUCUCAGGACUUUGGCUCCAGCGAUAGCCUCCGCUGUCCACAAAGCCACGGCACAAUAUCAGGGUCUCAGACUUCAGGCAGCUCAUCCGCUAGGCUCAGCACGUGCCGCCCAGUCCAACAGGCCUAUGAGGAGGCAAGAGCCAACAUCCUGGACCGGAGAAGAGAAGGGUGAUGUGCAGGCAGCAUUGCAUGAAGCUGCGGGGAGAGGAGGCUCUUCUCUUUCCCCAACAAGACGCCUGCCGCAGAUCUCCUCCAGCGGAACCCAGCAGGAAGGGGAAGUUGUCCCAGUGCCCCAGCUUUUAGCGAGUUCCCAGUUCCGGUUAGUUACCAAUCCAAAGACAAUUCCUGUUCUGUACAUGAGAAUUAUUCCUCCAUCCUGCUCUAAAAAUAAUGCCUUGCCUCUCCACAGCACCCAGAGGAUCCUCUUUGAUCCCAAUGGCAAAAUCAGGAGUGCCACGUCUUCAGUUUACAGUCAAGGAAACGAAGGCCUAGAACUUGGAACUGAAUUGCUCGUGGGCCUGCAGUAAAUAGCGCCAAUCAGACUCCAGUCAGAGCCUUCUGACUAUAAAUGUGAGGGCCUUGGUGUCUGCAGCCACUCGCCUUGUGUUCCUACUGCCGUAACUCCGGGGCAGGAUGAGUGGGCUACUGUAACAGUUGCUAAAUGCUUUCCCUACUUCUACUGUUUCCCUCAAUCCCCUCCUCCAGCCCACCCUUCACACCGGGGCAGAUUCAUCUCAUGUAUGCAGAGAUCCGGCCCUGUCCCUCCCGGUCAAACGUUCCAUUGCUUCCGUUGGCUUGGAGAAUAAAGUUGCCUCUCCUUGGGGUGCUUCCCUCCCU
Monodelphis domestica (gray short-tailed opossum) is the source of this 1643-nucleotide long non-coding RNA. The record is from Ensembl. NCBI's taxonomy places the organism in Eukaryota, Metazoa, Chordata, Mammalia, Didelphimorphia, Didelphidae.